CCUACGGGUGGCAGCAGUGAGGAAUAUUGGUCAAUGGGCGAGAGCCUGAACCAGCCAAGUCGCGUGAGGGAGUACUGCCCUAUGGGUUGUAAACCUCUUUUGUCGGGGAGCAAAAGCCGGACGUGUCCGGCUGUGAGAGUACCCGAAGAAAAAGCAUCGGCUAACUCCGUGCCAGCAGCCGCGGUAAUACGGAGGAUGCGAGCGUUAUCCGGAUUUAUUGGGUUUAAAGGGUGCGCAGGCGGAUUUUUAAGUCAGCGGUAAAAUCGUGGGGCUCAACCCCCGCCAGCCGUUGAAACUGGGGAUCUAGAGUGUGCGAGAGGUAUGCGGAAUGCGUGGUGUAGCGGUGAAAUGCAUAGAGAUCACGCAGAACCCCGAUUGCGAAGGCAGCAUACCGGUGCACAACUGACGCUCAGGCACGAAAGCGUGGGUAUCGAACAGGAUUAGAUACCCGGGUAGUC
This 458-nucleotide ribosomal RNA is filed under the name uncultured bacterium. RNAcentral describes it as "partial 16S ribosomal RNA". It matches the Rfam family "Bacterial small subunit ribosomal RNA", at positions 338 to 795 of the family's 1533-position model. The record is from RNAcentral.